RNAcentral lists this ribosomal RNA (446 nucleotides) under uncultured bacterium. RNAcentral's name for it is "partial 16S ribosomal RNA". It matches the Rfam family "Bacterial small subunit ribosomal RNA", at positions 338 to 795 of the family's 1533-position model. The record is from RNAcentral.
CCUACGGGUGGCAACAGUCGAGAAUCAUUCACAAUGGGGGAAACCCUGAUGGUGCGACGCCGCGUGGGGGAAUGAAGGUCUUCGGAUUGUAAACCCCUGUCAUGUGGGAGCAAAUUAAAAAGAUAGUACCACACGAGGAAGAGACGGCUAACUCUGUGCCAGCAGCCGCGGUAAUACAGAGGUCUCAAGCGUUGUUCGGAAUCACUGGGCGUAAAGCGUGCGUAGGCUGUUUCGUAAGUCGUGUGUGAAAGGCGCGGGCUCAACCCGCGGACGGCACAUGAUACUGCGAGACUAGAGUAAUGGAGGGGGAACCGGAAUUCUCGGUGUAGCAGUGAAAUGCGUAGAUAUCGAGAGGAACACUCGUGGCGAAGGCGGGUUCCUGGACAUUAACUGACGCUGAGGCACGAAGGCCAGGGGAGCGAAAGGGAUUAGAUACCCGUGUAGUC